AUAUCCAGUCAAAAUGAUCGUCACACGCUUGGUUAUCAUAUUAGUUAUUAUCGGAUGUCUUUAUACUCCAAGUCAUGGUAAGCAUUUCUUUACUAAUUGUUGUUGAGCUCUUUAUUAUUUAAUUAAAUUUAAGUCGAAUGUGUUCUUUCAAUCAAAGAAAAAACUAUAAUUUACAAGUAGAUCAAUGAUUUUACUUUACUGUCUAAUCUAUUUUAUUAAAAAAAAUAAAGAAAUAUUUUUUGUCUACUAAUAUGGUUUUACUUCUUUGUUGUCCCAAAAUUAAAGGUCGUGAUAUCGAAAGACGAGAAGAGGAAAACAAAAUAGUAAUAAUUCCUUGUGUUAAAGGGCCAUGCCCUGAUUGGGAUGUUUGCUACUGUUGUGAAGCUGAUCAACUGUGCUGGCAAUCAUGGGAGAUUUGCAGAUCACAUUGCCCUACAUGUGAUCCCCAUUGUCAUCCCCCAGCAGUCUACGAUCCAUAAUCACCGGCUCCUAUGGCUGUAUAACCUCGAGUUGUUGGAAUAAAAAUCUCAUCUCAUGUUUUUCUUUUUUCUCUACUAAUUUUGUAUUGUUUGUUUGGUUUUUUUAUUCCAUAAAUUAUCGGAUCUUACAUUGCUAGUAUAAUAAGCACUUAUUUAAGCUCACACAAUAAACACCCUCUUUAAACGUGCGCUAUGAAACAUGUAGACUCAAACUAUGAUAACAUAAUCGAUAGAGCAACUCAAGAUUUAUACCACAUAUCAACGUCUCAAUUUUAUCAUAAAGACAAUGCUACUAGAUCUUAAGGAUCAUAGUGGUUUUUCAGUUUAAUGAAAGGAAUGCCCAAACCAAAAUUACAUUUAUAUUACUUUAAAGAACAAAAACUACUUAUCCUAUGCUCGUUAGCCCACAAAACUAACUUUAGCUUUGCGGAAUAAUCCCCUCUCCAAAGAUUGUCAAAAUACUUUUUUACUUAUAUAUAUACACACGUAUACAUACAUAUAUACAUAUACAUAAAUAUAUACAUAUAUAUAUAUAUUUUUUUUUCUUUCUCACUUUAAACUCAUUCAAAUCCAUUCAUAAGUUUAUUAUUCAUUAGAAAUUCAUAAAUCUUAACUAUAAGAUUAAGGACCGGUUGUAAUACCUUAAAAGUGAUCCUAAUAGAAUUUAGGUUCGACGAUUCAUUGAUCCUGUAUCAUCUCUCAAAUAGAAAUUUUGAUAGAAGAAAACAAUAUCACUAGAAAUAAAUGUAAAAUCAAAAGAAAAAUAACCUCUAUUACUCGUAAGGUUAAAGUGUCAACUGCGAGGGCUAAACAAUGGAAUAAAACACAAUAAAAGAUUUAGAAUAAAAAUGUUAAAACACAAGUUAUCUUUGGACAGCAGUUGGGUACUCUCGGUUGAGGAUCACUGUUGAUUUCAAUCUCCUCCUUCGAUACUAUUGUUGGAUCUUCCUCCUACGGCUUGGAUAGCAAGUAAUAUGAUUUUAGGACUACUUAUAGUUGGUGGAUGAAGUUUGAAUAAAGGAUUUUGGAUACUAAAACUCAAGGAAGAAGGGGCUAUGGCUUGAAAAUUAGGAUCAAUUAGGGCUUCUUCUUAGUUGUCUUUAGGAUAUUAUUUCUUCUUCUACUUCUAUUUUUUCAUACUACUAUCAAUGAGCUCUUUAGAAUCUAUACUAUCCAACAAUUUAAUUUAACAAAUGAAAAAGGGUAAGAUUGAUAAUAACUCAAAAAAAUCUCUAUAAUAAGAUGGUCAUACAAGGGAAAAAGGGUUGCUAAACUUAUAAGCUCCUUCUAUUAGAGCUUAGAUUUUGAUAAUGAAAUCAAUUGAUGAAUUUAAUGAACUAUGUGUUUUUGAGAUAAAUGAUGUAGAAAAUACUUUGAUCAUAGACUCAAACUAUAGAUGGGUUAAAUGUCGAGUAAAAGAGUUAGACGUUGUGUCGAAAGAUUUUCGUAUCGAAAAUUAGACAUCGAGCUAGAGGAUUGAUCAAUAUGUCUUAUGGACUUCAUGCUAGAGAUUCGAACAUCAUAUCAAAAGGAUUAGAUAUCGCAUUAAAAAAUUAGAUGCCACGGUGAAAUCGAUUGGCUGGAAGAUUGAGUAAUAUACAAAAGUAUAGUGUGAUGUGUUGGAGUUUCGAACACACGAUAAGAGAUCAUGAUAUUAUGAUAAAUGAGGAAGACCUAGUUGUGCUUUCCUUUCCAUUCCUUUUUUUUUUAAUGUUCAGAAAACCCAAAUGUAACCCUAUUUUGAGUUGCCUGAAUCUAAAGAAUAUCUAAUUAUAUGGAACGAUUACUUUGGAGAUGAGGAAGUUCGUUCUUAGGCAUACCGAGGUGCUAUAACAUAUCUCAUCUCCCAUGCAGAGGUGUCUAUACGUCAAUAUAUGGCAGAUACUGUAGAUCAUCUCCUCGUCGGAGGUGCAACAUCAUUGAAGAGAAGGCCAUACAUAUUGAGAUCCCCGCUUCCUUCUAAUAGGAUCCAGCUAUGCCGCCACGUCAUACUGGAUGUACUUGACAAGGCACAUCCAGAUAUGCCCGCCACGUCAAGGAACAAAUCAGUGCACCCAGUUGUCGUAUGAUGUCCGUAAAGACAAUAGUUUUGGAAGAUGGGUUGGACUCAGGUUGGGUUCCAGGACAAGGUAUCGCACAUCAUCCAAACCAUACAUACCAUACAAAAAAUAUACCAUUAGAUGUCGGAUUGAUUAUUAGGUUUUGUCUUUAAUAAGGGAUAAUUUGGUCGGUCGGCCAUUGGUAUGACCCGUAGGCUCGUGAGAAAUUGUCCGCUUUGGAUGAUGAGCGUACCCGCACGAUUUUAUUCUUUUCGGAGCAUAUGAGCUCGAAAAGGCACCUCUAAGGAUAAAGGAGUACUCCCUCCCGUAGGGGAGCCAAGGUGCAGGCCUCGGACCUUCCUUCUAGCGCCAAUUUGAUCAAGGAUAAUUUGGUCGAUCGACCAUUGGUGUAGCCCAUAGGCUCGCGAGGAAUUAUCCGCUUUGGACGAUGGGCGUACCCAUACGAUUUUAUCCUUUUCGAAGCAUGCGAGUUCGAAAAGGCACAUCUGAGGGUAAGGGAGACCUGACGGACUUAUGAAUCCUUGGUACUCAUACUCCUCGACCAAUGUGAGACUAAAUGACCUUACGAGUCUUCAAUUGGAUAAAUCCAUCUAACACAUGGCAGUUCAAAUGCAUUAUGCGGAUCCACAUCUUGCACGCUCAAACGUGUUGUCCCCCGAUAUCUCAAUGAACCAAAGCUUUUAUACAAAUCGGCAAGCCCUUUCUCAAGUAUAUCUACGUGAUGUCAAUCAACAAAGCUAAUGUGUUUGUUCACUGUAAUGUCAAACUGUACUGAAACUUUCUUACUAGUGUUUUCUUUCUCGUUGGUGUUGUGGUGUGGGUGCCGACCAAAGGAAAUAGGCAUGGGUUACCGCACCGUCAGGAUGAGGAUGUUGCAACUUGACUUGGGUUGCGCUCCACUGCAGUCCCGAAACAUGGUUCGAUGAAUGACUUAAUAUGGUAAACUAGUAUGAUGGACUUAUAGGUUAUGGGGGAUGGAACUCAUUGUGAUCUCCCUUUUUAACUAUAUCUUUUUCACGUUCAAAAUGGAUGUAUCUAAUAUUAUUUUAGUUUCACUAAAUCGCUAGCUUAAUACAUACUAUAUAUAUGAACGUUUGAACAUUCUAUAUAAAGGCUCAAUUGGACUCUUAAAAUAUAUUAUAUCCGGUCAAAAUGAUCGUCACACGCUUUGUUAUCAUAUUAGUUAUCAUCGGAUGUCUUUAUACUCUAAGUCAUGGUAAGUAUUUCUGUGCUAACUGUUGUUGGGCUCUCUAUUAUUAAUUAAAUUCAAAUUGAACGUGUUCUUUCAAUCAAAGAAAAAACUAUAAUUUACAAGUAGAUCAAUGACUUUAUUUUACUGUCUAAUCUAUUUUAUAAAAGACUUUAUUUUACUGUCUAAUCUAUUUUAUAAAAAAACAAAGAAAUAUUUUUUGUCUACUAAUCUGGUUUUACUUCAUUGUUGUCCCAAAAUUUAAGGUCGUGAUAUCGAAAGACGGGAAGAGGAAAACAAAAUAGUAAUAAUUCCUUGUGUUAAAGGGUCAUGCGCAGAUUGGGAUGUUUGCUACUGUUGUGCAGCUGAUCGAUUUUGCUGGCAAUCAUGGGAGAUUUGCAGAUCACAUUGCCCUACAUGUGAUCCCCAUUGUCAUCCCCCAGCAUUCUAUGAUCCAUAAUCACCGGCUCCUAUAGCUGUAUAACCUCAUGUUGUUGGAAUAAAAAUCUCAUCUCAUGUUUCCCUAUUGUCAUCCCUUAGCAUUCUACAACUCAUAAUCA
Molecule: long non-coding RNA, 4288 nt
Filed under: Musa acuminata (dwarf banana)
Lineage: Eukaryota; Viridiplantae; Streptophyta; Magnoliopsida; Zingiberales; Musaceae
Description: long non-coding RNA (MACU_LNC002860)
Source: RNAcentral